Long non-coding RNA from Triticum dicoccoides, 838 nucleotides. RefSeq lists it as uncharacterized. The transcript is spliced from 4 exons. The record is from RefSeq and is a predicted model, not a curated record. Lineage: Eukaryota; Viridiplantae; Streptophyta; Magnoliopsida; Poales; Poaceae.
AACCGCCCCUCGGCGUCCGCGCGACGGUUUCUACCGCCCGCCGCCACCAGGGUUUUCUUCCCCCCUCGCCUUCUUCCUCCUCCUCCCCACGCAAUCCACGGAGGAACCGAGAGCGCGUAGGAGCGCAGCCAUGGCGUGACCGUGUCCAAGAUUCUUCCCCGUCACCGGCUCCGUGUCCAGGAGCUCCGCCGUCCACGUCUUCCUCGCCUACGUCCAGGAGGCCGCUCCCGAACGACUACAGCCACCACUCCUUCCUCUUCGGCCGCCGCCACGUCGUCGUCAAAGUCCUCCGCCUCCGUCCGCUACUCGACCGACGGAUCACACCUCCGUGGUCCUGGCUGCUGAACAUGAUGGAUGAUGAUUUAUUCAAGUUGGACACUGAGCUUUUGGGGGUUUAUUCCGAAGAUGCAACCAAUGAUGACAAGCCCCUGGAGGAUGAACCUCAGAAUGAGCGGACAUGUAAAAAUUCGUUUAUAGUUUAAUGAGUUCUUUGGUGCUUCUUAUUAUUGCUUAAUUCUUUCCCGACCUUUGUUGAUUGCUUGUUUAUUGCUGAAAAUGCAACUUGGGCACCUGAGAACUUAUAUUUUGUUGUUUCCCAUGGUGCAUCAAAAUAUUUUCUACAUGUCUUUGAUUUCUGUUUGAUAACGAUGCAGGUGAUGAUGAUUUCAAGCACCUGUCACAGAAUGCAGAAGAUCAUGUGCCAGCCUUUGACGAACUUGAUGAAGAUGUUCUGACGGGACAAUUAUUCGCUGAGAAUCCCCAGGAGCUGGCUCGGUAUACAGAGAAUCAUGUCCCAAUGUAUGAUAACCAUGGUAUGUAUAAACUCUUUAGUUUGAGG